Molecule: long non-coding RNA, 1285 nt
Filed under: Homo sapiens (human)
Lineage: Eukaryota; Metazoa; Chordata; Mammalia; Primates; Hominidae
Description: HSALNT0338333
Source: RNAcentral
UUUGAACCCAAGUGGUGUUUACUGAAAGGUUCAGACCCACCUGGGGGACCUGAGCAUGCUUCCCUGUGGCUCUCUGGGCCUAAGGACACGCAGAGCACCCUGAAAACAAGCCUAACAAAGUAAAAAGGUGGAAGAUUGAAGGUCUGAAGAGUGGGAAGUCCCAGGAACAGGCAAUUCCAGGAAGAUAUGAGGAAAAUCAAGAAAGAGAAGGAAACUGAAGCUAGUGGGAAGUGCUUCAAGUUGGAGAUGAUGCUGAGAUGGCCAAAAAGUGAGAGGUGGAAAACAUUUGGAGUGAGUUAAGGAGAGAACGCGAGGCAAGGAAGUGAAGCUGAGUGAGUUGGGGAGUGGGGUGCAGGGGCCUUUGGCCACCCCAGGCUCUUUCUAUGUGAACAUUCUGAGACUGAUUCUGAUUUUUUUCCCCUCCCAAAUUGCUCUCUUUUCCUUUCUUCACCUACUUACUCCCUGGUCAUCCUUCCUUUGGGUCAGUGAAGUUGCUGAUUCUUUAGGGAACACUUCUCUGAUUGCUGAAGCUAAUAGUCUCUCCCUGCGGUUGCCGGUUGUUUCCAAUAGUUGACUAGUUUUCUUCCCCAGCACUUACGAGUACACAGCCAGUCACUCUGGUUGCUCACUGUCUUCCUUCUUCCUUGACUGUCAGCUCACAGGAAUGCAGGGCCCUUACUUGUUUUACUCACCACUGCAUCCCAAGGAUAUAGCAGAGUGCCUGGCACACGGUAGGUGCUGAAUAAAUAUUCGUUAAAUGAUUGAUUGGAGGAAAAAACCACCAUCCUCCAUGGUAAACCUUUACUUUACUUUUGCAUACUUCUAAAAGUAUAAUCUAGAGGUUCAGUGACUCCCGCAAAUAAACAGAAAAGGGCACAGAGGGUGGCGAUAGGGCCACUGAUAACAGGAGCUGGAAGUAGAAGACAUCUUUUUUCCGAAGUUGAAGACUUGUACUUCCAUAACCUUGGCAGAUUAGGAAAUGUCAAUUACCCUCCAAUCCAACCUCCUAUAUAGAGCCACACACUGGUUUCCUAGCCUUUUAUGUAUUGAAAAGAUGUUAUCCUAUAAAUUUUCUUCUUUUCCAAUGUGUUCUAUAAAUAUCCACUAAAAUACUUUAAUUGCAAGAAAGUUAGAUAUUUGAGGUUAUAUCCAUGUUUCAUUUCUGUGGAAAACAACACAGAAAAUGUUACCCAAGUAUAACUGGGCACCAUGGCUCCAAUAUUUUCUCAUUAUCAGCUCAAAUAAACACAACUUAGAAUAAAAAAGUCAUGUAAAGCAAUUCAAA